UUAGGCUCAGUAACACGUCGAUAAUCUGCCCUAUGGUUGAGGAUAAUCACGGGAAACUGUGUGUAAUACUCAAUAGGAGAAAUGCUCUGGAGAAUAGCUUUCUUUUAAACUCGAGCCGUAGGAUGAGUCGGCGGCCGAUUAGGCUGUGGGCGGUGUAAAGGACCACCAAACCUAUGAUCGGUAGGGGCCUUGAAAGAGGUUGCCCCGAGAAGGACACUGAGAUACUGGUCCUAGCCCUACGGGGUGCAGCAGGCGCGAAAACUUUACAAUGCGCGAAAGCGUGAUAAGGGGACCCUGAGUGCUCAUACACAGUAUGGGCUUUUUUCAAGAGUAAAAAUCUUGAAGAAUAAGUGGUGGGCAAGACUGGUGCCAGCCGCCGCGGUAACACCAGCGCCACAAGUGGCAAUCGCGUAUUUGGCCUUAAGCGUCCGUAGCUGGUUCUGUAAAUCUUUUGUGAAAUUGUUAAUGUUAACUUAACAGCGUGCGAAAGACACUGCAGGACUUGAGACCGGGAGGAGUCAGAGGUAUUCUUGGGGGAGCGGUAAAAUGUUAUAAUCCCAAGAAGACCACCAGUGGCGAAGGCGUCUGACUAGAACGGAUCUGACAGUGAGGGACGAAAGCUAGGGGAGCGAUCCGGAUUAGAUAUCGAUACUUCCGUAUCAGAAUUUGUUUCGUUUGAUCGAAAUAAAAUCUACUAAACGAAGCAAAAUUAUCGGAAGUUAAAUCGACUAAUUACCCGAGUAGUCCUAGCUGUAAACACUGUGAGCUGGGUGUUGCACAAACUACGGGUUUGUGCAGUGUCGAAACGAAG
RNAcentral lists this ribosomal RNA (811 nucleotides) under uncultured euryarchaeote. RNAcentral describes it as "bacterial SSU rRNA". It matches the Rfam family "Archaeal small subunit ribosomal RNA", at positions 83 to 811 of the family's 1478-position model. Lineage: Archaea; Methanobacteriati; Methanobacteriota. The record is from RNAcentral.